This is a long non-coding RNA of Acipenser ruthenus (sterlet), 651 nucleotides long. RefSeq lists it as uncharacterized. Lineage: Eukaryota; Metazoa; Chordata; Actinopteri; Acipenseriformes; Acipenseridae. The transcript has 4 exons. The record is from RefSeq and is a predicted model, not a curated record.
UUAGGCUUGGAUAAGAUUGUGAAAUAAACAAACAACACAUUUUUUGCAUGAUUUUUUAAGGUAACGUAUGGACGUAGAGCAUCUGAUGACAAAGGAUCCAUAUUGGCCUGGAUGAAUACCAUUGAAGCAUUUCAAGCCCUGAAACAGGCAGGAUAUCCCAGUAAACCUGAAGUUCAUCUUCGAAGGCGUGGAGGAAAUUGGAAAGAAAAGAACGACACAUUUUUUGCAGAUAUGGACUACAUAGUGAUCUCUGACAGUACUUGGCUCAGCAGGAAACCUGCCCUCACUUAUGGAGCAGGACAGUGCUCCAUGCCACACAGCCAGGUCAAUCAAGGUGUGGAUGGAGGACCACCAGAUCAAGACCCUGUCAUGGCCAGCCCAAUCUCCAGACCUUGAACCCCAUAGAAAACCUCUGGAAUGUGAUCAAGAUGAAGAUGGAUGGUCACAAGCCAUCAAACAAAGCCGAGCUGCUUGAAUUUUUAAUUUGCCACUUUGUCACAUAACCUAGUGCAGCCUUGUAGACUCCGCUGGUCAUAUUCUGAUCUCUGGUAUUAAUGAAGCAGUUCCUCCUCUCACUGAAGAGGAGAGGAAGCUGUAUGAGGUGAGUGAGUUUGACCCAGAGACUUUCAAGAAUCAUGUUGGAAACUUCUU